Long non-coding RNA from Patiria miniata (bat star), 2306 nucleotides. RefSeq lists it as uncharacterized. The record is from RefSeq and is a predicted model, not a curated record. The transcript is spliced from 3 exons. NCBI's taxonomy places the organism in Eukaryota, Metazoa, Echinodermata, Asteroidea, Valvatida, Asterinidae.
ACCUUAUGCCUGAGUCACGUGGCAUAUUUCGUCAUGCGCAGUUCUCAAAGGAGUCAGUCACGUGGAGGGGAACGUGAGAGUUACUUUGGUUGCUGCAUAAUAAAAGUUACAAUUUUCCCACUUGUAAUCAGACUGCCAAUUCGAACGCGUACGUGAACGAUACUCAACAGCACUGCCUGCUUAUCAGUCAUCUUUAAUUCCUCAUCCGGCAUUGAAAGAAAUCAGCAAAAAAAAAAGGAUGAAGGGAUUCACCUGUUUGGUUCUGUUGAUGUGCCUGAGCUGCGUCUUUGCCAUGGCACUUCGUCAAGAGAGAGAUACUAAGGACCAGUUGUUGGAACUGCUCCUGGAGCGAUACUUGGAGGGCAGAUCGCGACAGGAUCGGGACGGAUACGGAAAAGACCGAUCCCUAGAGGAGGACCGUAAGUUGUACAAAACGCAUAUAGCUGUUGUUGUUUUUUUACUUGACAGUCGCCUAUAUGUGAAGAAUGUUUUCAUAUAAACCAUGGGAUCUCAUGACAAAACGUUCCUGAGCCUCUGAUAAAUUGGUAAAUACAGGGCGAGUCAGAAUAUUCUGGACCCAAGUCAGGUAUAUUUUUGUUGUGGCAUAUAAAGUAUAUUGAGAAAAAAACUUAGUGUUUCAUAUAUGAAUGGUUAUUACCAAAAUUUGGAAUUUUUCAAAUUGGUGGCAGUGGUGGUGAGGAGUUUUGCCAUUUUCAUUGAAGUCGCUCAUUUUCCAGCCUGCACACAGAAUUGGUUUUGCAUUUUUAAAUGUGCCAAUAACUACUUUGUUGUUGUAGUGAGACGUUUUUUACGAGGCACCGUACAAUUGGCACACAGCCCAGAAAAAAAAUGUGUACAAACGCGCACUCAGUGCGUGUACGCGCGAGUUUUCUGCUUCCACACCAAACUGUGCAAUAUGGAGGCCUAGCUCACUACACAGUUGUACACUUGCCAGGCCUUCGGGGAACUUCGGGGAACCUGAUUGAAAUAUUAGAACCAAGAAUAUUAGGAACCUGAUUAAAACAUUAGAACCAAGAAUAUUAGGAACCUGAUUAAAAUAUUAGAACCAAGAACAUUAGACACCUGGAAAUCUUAGGAAGCGGGGCAACUUUAGAAAUACAAACAUUGUGAUUAUAAUUUAUCAUUGACAAUGUUAUUACAAUUUAUAGAGCUGAAAGUUGAAUCCAAGUUAUAUGAUUUUUGUAACACUUGUUUUGUGAGUUAGAUUGAGAUUCAGAUCCAGAACUAUUGUAAUUGAUUUUGUAAACGAGUAAUCUGUAACAAGUUCAUGAGACCAAACAUAAUUUGACCCCUCCUAGUGUUUUGUCUUGGUUGUCCUUGGCGUCCUUAAAUCCAAUCAUUUGAGCGGACCUCCUUAAUGGCGUACCGCUACAAAAGUGGCGUCGUAGAUAGGAUUCGUCACAACUUAUUUACCUACUAAGCUUAAAGUAUUUUUUUCUUCCAUGUCUACUCCUCCUGCUACAAAAGUGGCGUCGUAGACAGGAUGCCUUGGACAAUGUAGGAUAAACAGUUUCCUUAAUUGUAAAUUAUUAAGUUCUCCGAACGCCUUUUCCUCGCUGUGGCCGUCCAUUUAUCAUGGAGCGUCGUACGAGAUGGGAUUUGCUGUUGCUGUUACCAUGCAAGAUGUUUCUCCUCAUUCGCCAGGCUGUGAUGCGCCGUUUCACUUGUUGAGGGACAUGAUCAUCUCUUCCAUUUUGUAUUAUUGACUGGGCUGCAUUUUUUUAUAGUAUUGUCAGCAGGUGUAGUUUUGGUCACUUGUAGUUUUAACCUACAUACACUUGUGCAAUUUUAUCUUCCAUGUGAAGUGUAUUUUGACUUUGGUAUCCAUUCUUUUGUAGAUCUGCAUUUGUACAGAUUAAGCCUUUUGGCCUACGUGUAGCUGAAGUCAAAUUUGUGUGCACAGUUGGUUUGUAUGUAGAGUAUGGCCUGAUUGUAUUUUUGCUGACUUAAUUUGCAGACCCUUGUAUAUUUUGACAUAUUGACGUGAAGUUUGACGUGCAUGAUGUGCAUUUCAUAUUUUGUCUGUGCAUUUUGUCUAUUUUUGACAUGAUUCAGUCUGUAUUUAGGCUGUAAUUUUGGGUUGGAUUUUGUGUGUACAAGUUAUGUCAUUGUAUCCCUUGUAGGAUGGAAAAUAGGCUGUAUUGUGACCCUGUUAUAUCUGUGUAGGUACAGAUUUUUUGUCAAAUUUGUGAAGCCUUGUAAUUUCAUGUACACUGUAGGCCGUAGGUGGUCAUUUAUAUCACAACCAUGGUUUUGCCAGACAGUACUUGUUAAGUCACAUCAGU